CCCCCACCCUCGUUUUUCUCAUGAUGUCUGCAUCACUGCCCACACCAAUCUAUCUCUUCCUGCUGAAUGUUUUUAAAGCCAAAUUGGAAAAAAAAAAAUUGGAAGUGGCCUGCAUGCUGUUCUUUCUGGGUUUCAAAGAGCCCUCCCGUGUUAUGGGAACAAAAUACAGUGUUUUAAUUUUCAAUAAUAAUAAUUAUUAUUAUCAUUACCCACAACGAUGCCAACACCAAGAGCCCCACUCGCGGGUAGGCUGAUCUAGGGGUGUAAGUGCUUCUCCGGCUGGGACUGCAUUUGGGCUGCACCGGCCCUGUGAACCCGCCCCCCUCCCCUUGUCUGUAACCUAAGGAGGCCGGUUGCCUGGCGACUCCCAGCUGGGUUGGGGGAGGCCACCUCCACCAGGGCUCCAGGUCCUGCUUUUCCCAUGUCCUGGGCCACAGAUCACAUUAGCAACACAUUUUUCUGCAGUGCUGGCAGAGCACCUGUUUGGGGACAGGCUCCAGGCAUGUCAGAUGGUGACAACAGAUCUGUGCGUCCACUCAGCCCCCAUCAGACAGGUCCCUCCACCCCACACCAUAGGGCUGUGCGUGGCUCUCUGCCAGCCAGGGGUGGCGGGCCGAGCAGGGAGCCGCUCUUCAAUUCCUUUCCCAGUGUGGGUGGGGAGCUGAGCGGGAUGAGGUGGCCGACACCCUGCUCCCUCCUGCCCUGCCCUCCGUGGAGCCCAGGGGAGCUGAGCGUCCCACUGCACUCAGCAUCAGCAGGGGGAGGGGCCCGUGGGAGGCAGGGCUUGGCGCUUCAGUUCUCUGCUUUCCCUCUGCCGGUGCCUGGAGUCCGCAGGGCAGGGCCCGCUGGGUAGCAUCCCUCACUGCCUCCCCCGCCGGCAACAACAAAGCCCUGUGAGUCAGCCCUGCUCUCCUCCUCUUCCUCCUCCUCCUCCUCCCUGGGGAUGAAGGCCAGCAGGAAGCUGAGUAUGCUCACCCACCCAGCACCCUGUUCCAACUCAACAGGGGUCGGUCUGGCUUCUGUUGUUUAAGAUGACAUAGGACGAAGAAGCGUCUAGUAACAUAACAUCCAAGAUGUCCAGGAUACGAUUUAAAGAGUCAGCCAUACACCGGGAACCAAGAGAACCGCACCAUAAAUAGGCAUACAUGCUCAGCACUGAGAUGAGUAAGAUGGGAUCAGCUGCCUGGCAUUUCUGAAGCAGCCAUCAUAAAAACACUUUUUAUGAAUUCUCUUAAUGUGAAUAAAAAACAGAAAGUCUCAGCA
Molecule: long non-coding RNA, 1263 nt
Filed under: Oryctolagus cuniculus (rabbit)
Lineage: Eukaryota; Metazoa; Chordata; Mammalia; Lagomorpha; Leporidae
Description: lncRNA (ENSOCUG00000033062.1)
Source: RNAcentral